Dermochelys coriacea (leatherback sea turtle) is the source of this 1642-nucleotide long non-coding RNA. RefSeq lists it as uncharacterized. Lineage: Eukaryota; Metazoa; Chordata; Testudines; Dermochelyidae. The record is from RefSeq and is a predicted model, not a curated record. The transcript has 2 exons.
GAGGGAGAAGGCGGGUCGCGCGGCAGCGGCAUGGGCAGGGCGAGGGCGAGAAGUUGCAGGCGGCUCCUGCCGGGCAGGACGCGGGGUGCCCGAGGCCAGGGGGCGCCUAGCGGGGCAGAGCCGCGGGACGGGACGAGCCCCGGGGGCGGCAGAGACAGCAGCUGCCAGCGCCUCCGAAGUUGAGGUCAGUGUGCUGGGGUGGGAGGUUGUUGCUGGCUUCUUGGAAGCAUGCAUCUGUCUGCAUUGGGUUAAUCCUCCAGAAGCUGGUGAGCCACUGACUAACGCACAUUGUGCUGUUAAAGACUCCACUGUGCGUGUGACAGCGGCUAACCUGCUUUUCGGACAUCACUGUAUAUACGCCAUCAUCCUGUCCCAUGAAGAGGCAAUACUCGAUCCUGGGGACUGCACCUAGCUUCCAUCAGCAUGGUAGGAGACAGCUGUUUGCAUCCCAGCAGCAGCCCCUGACAAAUUCACCGACCUGAACUAUUGUGAAAUCUUCAGAAAAGUUUGCUUGCAAUUUGUUUCUUUCCUUUAAAACUCAAGCUGAGAGGGAGCACAGUACCUUUUCUUGAAAUAAGUUCAUUGAUUGUACUAUGUUUAAUGAGUUCCCCUUGAUACAUGUGCCUGUCUUUCUCAUACAGCUACAAAUCAGACGCUCUCUGUGUGUUUUUGUUUGUUUGUUUUAAAUUAGCAACCUCUCAGUGGCAGAGCAUUGAAAGACUUAAUGCUUCUGGGCCAUUCUACUACAAGGACCAAGUGAACUCUAUACAUUAUGAUGUGAGCUAGGGCUUCUGUGACAGGAAACAGCUAUAAAGUCUUCCUGGGAAGACUGCAGAUGCAAUAGCACAUCUUCAAAAAUGAGACCCUGCUUUCCUCCACCUCACCUAUUCUUUCCAAAAAGCUAGUGAUUUGGGAUUUUGUUUAAAUCAUGUUAGUUGGAGAAACUCUUCAUCCUGCCUGUGACAUCUUGGUACCCAGUCAAUGACUAAUUGAACUCCUGCUGCCAAGGGUGUGUUAACAGAAUAAACUGUGCUUGGUAUUGCCAUGGUGAGUCAUUUUAAAGACUCUUUCUUCUGUUUAGAAGUAAAUCAUAAACCAGUUUCACCUUCCAGUUUUUCUUACCGCCUUUGCAGUUUCUUGUAGCUGGCUGUGUCUUAAAUGAAGGCUCUGCUCCUUUCCAAGCCAGUUUUCUCUCCUGAUUUGAUCGUGCAGUGAAGUCUUACUGAUAAAACUCAAGUGACUCCAUUCAUUUCUCUAACAGAAUGUGAUGUCACAAAUGCAGAAUCAACACUUCAUUGCUUGCGUCACGCGGAAAGCAAAGGCGAUGAGAGGGAAGCUUCAGAUAUUUGUGGUUGCAUUAAACAGCAACAGUAAAGAGGAUAGAGGAAGUGACUAAGCAAAUUGUGUUUGGUAUAAAGUUCUUUCAGUUUGGCUCCAUUAUAGAAACUCACUAGCUACAGAGCUUGCUCUUAAGGUGAGGUGUGGACCUGUUUUACCUCUAGAUGACUUCAUGACUCCAAGCCAGGUUAGUAGUGACCAGAUACUGUUUACUGAUAGCUGUUUAGUGGCCUCUAUGAAAUGAUUUGGUGCUCUCCAUUUCAUUUCAGCCAUACCCUGGGGGAAACCUAGCAUUUCAUCCCAU